CUGUGCUAAGGCCCCAGCCUGGGAUCUAUGCUUCUUCCCAGCUCCUGUGGUCCCAUGUCUACUUCUGUCCUUGUGCUGACUACACCCAGCUCUGACUGCCUGGGUAAUAUCACCAUAUAGUAAUGAACCAGGGAAAUAAAUUGGAAAAAGGGAAUAGAAAGAAAUGUCUCAAUGGGACUAAUUAUGGAAUAUAAAACACAAUGACUCCCUGUAUGCACUGGAAAAAGGCAGAGAGAAAAAGCUAACAAGACAGGCACCCCUAGUGAAGCAAAUUAGGUUCCUGAUUACACCGCUGUGGAGCUGAAAGAGAAAGUUCUCCAGGG
This 323-nucleotide long non-coding RNA is filed under the name Homo sapiens (human). RNAcentral's name for it is "non-protein coding lnc-MTRR-17:2". Lineage: Eukaryota; Metazoa; Chordata; Mammalia; Primates; Hominidae. The record is from RNAcentral.